This 627-nucleotide ribosomal RNA is filed under the name Salmonella enterica subsp. enterica serovar Dublin. RNAcentral's name for it is "partial 23S ribosomal RNA". It matches the Rfam family "Bacterial large subunit ribosomal RNA", at positions 580 to 1208 of the family's 2925-position model. RNAcentral also lists the same sequence under 2 other names. The record is from RNAcentral. Lineage: Bacteria; Pseudomonadati; Pseudomonadota; Gammaproteobacteria; Enterobacterales; Enterobacteriaceae.
CAGGUUUACCUGUGUGACUGCGUACCUUUUGUAUAAUGGGUCAGCGACUUAUAUUCUGUAGCAAGGUUAACCGAAUAGGGGAGCCGGAGGGAAACCGAGUCUUAAUUGGGCGUUAAGUUGCAGGGUAUAGACCCGAAACCCGGUGAUCUAGCCAUGGGCAGGUUGAAGGUUGGGUAACACUAACUGGAGGACCGAACCGACUAAUGUUGAAAAAUUAGCGGAUGACCUGUGGCUGGGGGUGAAAGGCCAAUCAAACCGGGAGAUAGCUGGUUCUCCCCGAAAGCUAUUUAGGUAGCGCCUCGUGAAUUCAUCUCCGGGGGUAGAGCACUGUUUCGGCUAGGGGGCCAUCCCGGCUUACCAACCCGAUGCAAACUGCGAAUACCGGAGAAUGUUAUCACGGGAGACACACGGCGGGUGCUAACGUCCGUCGUGAAGAGGGAAACAACCCAGACCGCCAGCUAAGGUCCCAAAGUCAUGGUUAAGUGGGAAACGAUGUGGGAAGGCCCAGACAGCCAGGAUGUUGGCUUAGAAGCAGCCAUCAUUUAAAGAAAGCGUAAUAGCUCACUGGUCGAGUCGGCCUGCGCGGAAGAUGUAACGGGGCUAAACCAUGCACCGAAGCUGCGGCAG